GGCACUGUGGCCGAGUGGCAAGGCAAAGGUCUGCAAAACCUCUUACAGCGGUUCAAAUCCGCUCAGUGCCU
Molecule: transfer RNA, 71 nt
Filed under: Candidatus Karelsulcia muelleri
Lineage: Bacteria; Pseudomonadati; Bacteroidota; Flavobacteriia; Flavobacteriales
Also listed under: 2 other names
Description: tRNA-Cys
Rfam family: tRNA
About the family: Transfer RNA (tRNA) molecules are approximately 80 nucleotides in length. Their secondary structure includes four short double-helical elements and three loops (D, anti-codon, and T loops).
Source: RNAcentral